Pelobates cultripes (western spadefoot toad) is the source of this 490-nucleotide non-coding RNA. Lineage: Eukaryota; Metazoa; Chordata; Amphibia; Anura; Pelobatidae. The record is from the annotation of a GenBank genome assembly.
GGUAUUUCCUCCUUAAAGGAACACUGUCACCUCAACAUUAUCAAUAAGAUUAUUCAGCCAUUUACAUGCAUCUUGGGUCAGACAGUGGUUGAGUUUGAAAGUUAUUCGAUCUGAUUGUUUUUCUGCACUGUGUAGGGAGUGAAGCUGGGAAUACCGUAGAGACUAUACAGAGAUUUUCAAAUACGGAUAAUCCAUAUAAAAAGUAUGUUGAGGUGACAGUCGUUCCUUAAUACCUUCACUUUGUGUCAAAAUGCCAAUUAAUGCCACUAUUAGAGAUGUGGUUUGGUGGACAGCCGUGAUUGCCAUGCAUGCUCUUUAUGUCCUCAAUACAAAAAAAUCAUAUCUGAUUUAUUGGAAGGAGAGGCAGCUGCAGAGGGGGAAAUUACAGAUGUUUUAUAGCCUUUCUCCACCCGCCUAUCUAUUCUCUAAUACUGUAGCUUUAAAAAUAUAUAUGAAAGCACCAUCUAGAAUGGAUAUUUGUCUGAGUCUG